Molecule: ribosomal RNA, 280 nt
Filed under: uncultured bacterium
Lineage: Bacteria
Description: partial 16S ribosomal RNA
Rfam family: Bacterial small subunit ribosomal RNA
Source: RNAcentral
AUGCGUACGAUUAGGCAGCAGGCGGGUAACGGCCCACCUGGCCAACGAUCGUUAGGGGUUCUGAGAGGAAGGUCCCCCACACUGGUACUGAGACACGGACCAGACUCCUACGGGAGGCAGCAGUGAGGAAUAUUGGUCAAUGGGCGCAAGCCUGAACCAGCCAAGUAGCGUGCAGGACGACUGCCCUAUGGGUUGUAAACUGCUUUUAUGCGGGGAUAAAGUGGGCCACGCGUGGCUUAUUGCAGGUACCGUAUGAAUAAGGACCGGCUAAUUCCGUGCC